RNAcentral lists this unclassified non-coding RNA (244 nucleotides) under Hevea brasiliensis (rubber tree). Lineage: Eukaryota; Viridiplantae; Streptophyta; Magnoliopsida; Malpighiales; Euphorbiaceae. The record is from RNAcentral.
AUCAGCUGCUGCUGCAGCUGUGAAGGCUGCAGAGGCUGCUAGGGCAGCAGCUGAAGAGAAGGCUGCAAUUGCAGCAAGGGCUGUUACAGCUGCAAAGAGUGCCAUGGACUUGGUUGCCUCGAUUUCUGAAGAAGCAGCCUAUAAAGAAAUAAACCUGAGAAAGAGCAAGCUGAAGAAACAUGUCCCAGUUCAGUUUCUGUACACAAAAUAUCAACCUCUUGAGAAUACUAAGACAGAUGAAGAG